This is a long non-coding RNA of Manacus vitellinus (golden-collared manakin), 330 nucleotides long. RefSeq lists it as uncharacterized. Lineage: Eukaryota; Metazoa; Chordata; Aves; Passeriformes; Pipridae. The transcript is spliced from 3 exons. The record is from RefSeq and is a predicted model, not a curated record.
AGUGUAGCUCUCCUGGAGUUCAGAGCCUACUGUAGUGCCAGUGUGGAACACUGUGAGGCCCAAGAGGGAAUUCACUGCAGAACAACUUUUGAAUAUAGUAGCGGACACCAAAUUUAGACAUCUAGAGGACAAUUCUCUAGUGCCAAUUAAAGCAGUUCAGAGUAUAGCCAUCUCUUACUUCCUGUGCUCUGUGCUAGAGGAUGCUGAGAGGAAGUGAGAAAACACAGUUCUCCCGGUUCAAAAUUAAAACAGACCAGAUACUACACAUUUUAGGAAUUGUGUUUAGAAACAAAAUGAGGACUUGGAAGUAAAUCAUUCUUUUUCAGAAGU